This 71-nucleotide transfer RNA is filed under the name Testudo marginata. RNAcentral describes it as "tRNA-Lys". It matches the Rfam family "tRNA". From Rfam's summary of the family: Transfer RNA (tRNA) molecules are approximately 80 nucleotides in length. Their secondary structure includes four short double-helical elements and three loops (D, anti-codon, and T loops). The record is from RNAcentral. Lineage: Eukaryota; Metazoa; Chordata; Testudines; Testudinidae.
CACUAAGAAGCUAAACAGGGUAGCGCUAGCCUUUUAAGUUAGAAAAGGGAGCCUCCAACUCUCCUUAGUGA